RNAcentral lists this ribosomal RNA (735 nucleotides) under uncultured Actinomycetes bacterium. RNAcentral describes it as "bacterial SSU rRNA". It matches the Rfam family "Bacterial small subunit ribosomal RNA", at positions 375 to 1123 of the family's 1533-position model. Lineage: Bacteria; Bacillati; Actinomycetota; Actinomycetes. The record is from RNAcentral.
GCGCAAGCCUGAUGCAGCAACGCCGCGUGAGGGACGAAGGCCUUCGGGUUGUAAACCUCUUUUAGCAGGGAAGAAGCGAAAGUGACGGUACCUGCAGAAAAAGCACCGGCUAACUACGUGCCAGCAGCCGCGGUAAUACGUAGGGUGCAAGCGUUGUCCGGAAUUAUUGGGCGUAAAGAGCUCGUAGGCGGUUUGUCGCGUCUGCUGUGAAAAUCCGAGGCUCAACCUCGGACCUGCAGUGGGUACGGGCAAACUAGAGUGCGGUAGGGGAGAUUGGAAUUCCUGGUGUAGCGGUGGAAUGCGCAGAUAUCAGGAGGAACACCAAUGGCGAAGGCAGAUCUCUGGGCCGUAACUGACGCUGAGGAGCGAAAGCGUGGGGAGCGAACAGGAUUAGAUACCCUGGUAGUCCACGCCGUAAACGGUGGGAACUAGAUGUGGGGUCCGUUCCACGGAUUCCGUGUCGCAGCUAACGCAUUAAGUUCCCCGCCUGGGGAGUACGGCCGCAAGGCUAAAACUCAAAGGAAUUGACGGGGGCCCGCACAAGCGGCGGAGCAUGCGGAUUAAUUCGAUGCAACGCGAAGAACCUUACCAAGGCUUGACAUAUAGAGGAAAAGCGUAGAAAUACGCUCCCCGCAAGGUCUCUAUACAGGUGGCGCAUGGUUGUCGUCAGCUCGUGUCGUGAGAUGUUGGGUUAAGUCCCGCAACGAGCGCAACCCUCGUCCUAUGUUGCCAGCA